Long non-coding RNA from Mirounga angustirostris (Northern elephant seal), 784 nucleotides. RefSeq lists it as uncharacterized. The record is from RefSeq and is a predicted model, not a curated record. The transcript is spliced from 5 exons. Lineage: Eukaryota; Metazoa; Chordata; Mammalia; Carnivora; Phocidae.
AUCUGUUCUCUUCACGUGACAUUUCAUAAAAGCCCUAACAUCUGGGCAAGAUAAACUUCCUUCAGGUCUCGGAUUCGAAGUUUCUUGGGAAAGAGUGGGGUUGCCGGCUGUGAGAAAUCAUGAGGCCUGUCUCUGGAAAUGGGAGGUUGGGCCUUUGCCUGACUCUGUGGCGGCUCCUUCUGCUACCGCUGACACUUGGAACCGCCGCCUCGGCGCAGCGGCCAGACGCGGGGCCCCGAGCGGUCCACGCAGUCGGAGAAGGGCGCGGACAUUGUCACUCUCCCCACCGUGUGGCCCCGGCCCGCCACCCACGCAGGGGAGUCUGGGCCGGCGGCCCCCCUCCCGCGCGCGCCGCAGAUGCAGGGAAAACCGCCUGACAUCAUGAGAGCGGGACAAACGCUCACUUUGAAGGAUUCCUGGGCAGGACUUCAAGUGAAAUCAUAUGCCUGAGAAGAACUUGAUACCGGUCUAGAGAAAAUAACCAGUUCUGAGUUUGCCAAACCGUGGAAUGUGCAAAAUGCUCGACUUUUUUGCAAGAGGCCAAGUGUCCCUUAAAAAGCUCUAUUAUGAAUAUGAGCCUGAGGACCGAAGGAGCAAGAAGCUUGUGCCGUUGUUGAGUGUGGGAAAAAAGUACACACAGUAUCUGCCUCCUCAAAAUAUAAGCAAGAGAAGUGAAUAACGAAUUUAAGUUUUUGCUGUUUGGGGACCUAAUAAGAGAUGAAGGAUAGAUGCUACAAAGCCCACUGAACACCAAACUGGAAUAAUAAUAAAGCUGUCUUUCUAA